CCUACGGGAGGCAGCAGUGAGGAAUAUUGGUCAAUGGACGAGAGUCUGAACCAGCCAAGUAGCGUGAAGGAUGACUGCCCUAUGGGUUGUAAACUUCUUUUAUAAAGGAAUAAAACGAGGCACGUGUGCCUUUUUGCAUGUACUUUAUGAAUAAGGAUCGGCUAACUACGUGCCAGCAGCCGCGGUAAUACGGAGGGUCCGAGCGUUAUCCGGUUUUGUUGGGUUGAAAGGGAGCGUAGAUGGGUUGUUAAGUCAGUGGUGAAAGGUUGCGGCGCAACCGUAAAAUGGCAAUUGAUACUGGCAGGCUUGAGUACAGGUGAGGGAGGCGGAACUCGUGGUGUAGCGGUGAAAGACUUAGAUAUAACGAAGAACCCCGAUUGCGAAGGCAGCUUACUAAACUGUGACUGACGUUGAUGCUCGAAAGUGUGGGUAUCAAACAGGAUUAGAUACCCUUGUAGUC
Molecule: ribosomal RNA, 460 nt
Filed under: uncultured bacterium
Lineage: Bacteria
Description: partial 16S ribosomal RNA
Rfam family: Bacterial small subunit ribosomal RNA
Source: RNAcentral